This 24294-nucleotide long non-coding RNA is filed under the name Zea mays. RNAcentral describes it as "long non-coding RNA (ZMAY_LNC005777)". Lineage: Eukaryota; Viridiplantae; Streptophyta; Magnoliopsida; Poales; Poaceae. The record is from RNAcentral.
GGCAAGGAAAUAUAUGUGGGGUGAGGUGAACGAGCCUGUGGUCAACGAUCUAUGGCCACACAACCCCCAUUUUUGUCGAAAAUAGCAUAAACGACCAUUUUCAAUAAUACUAGAGGCUAACACCUACGGAAUUUUGACCAAGAAAUGGUCUGCACCAGAAAUCCAAGAAUGUGAUCUAUGGCAAGGAAACAUAUGUGGGGUGAGGUGAACGAGCCUCUGGUCCAUGAUCAAUCGCCACACAACCCCCAUUUUUGCCGAAAAUAGCCAUUAAUGACCAUUUUCAAUUAUACCCAAGGCUAACACCUACAGAUUUUUGACCAAGAAAUGGUCUCCACCAGAAAUCCGAGAAUGUGAUCUAUGGGAAGGAAACAUAUGUGGGGUGAGGUGAAUGAGCCUCUGGUUAAUGAUCAAUGGCCACACAACCCUCAUUUUUGUCGAAAAUAGCCAUGAACGACCAUUUUCAAUAAUAUCGAAGGCUAACACCUACGAAAUUUUGACCAAGAAAUGGUCUCCACCAAAUAUCCAAGAAUGUGACCUACGUCAAGGAAACAUAUGUGAGGUGAGGUGUACAAGCCUCUGGUCGAUGAUCAAUGGCCACACAACCCCCAUUUUUGUCGGAAAUAGCCAUCAACGACCAUUUUCAAUAAUACCGAAGGCUAACACCUACGGAUUUUUGACCAAGAAAUGGUCUCCACCAGAAAUCCAAGAAUGUGAUCUAUGGCAAGGAAACAUAUGUGGGUUCAGGUGUACGACCAUACAGUCGAUGAUCAAUGGCCAAACAACCCUCAUUUUUGUCAAAAAUGGCAUAAACGCCCAUUUUCAAUAAUAACAAAGGCUAACGACUACGGAUUUUCGACCAAGAAAUGGUCUCAACUAGAACUCCAAGAAUGUGAUCUAUGGUAAGGAAACAUAUGUGGGAUGAGGUUUAUGAUCCUCUAGUCGACGAUCAAUGGCCACACAACACCCAUUUUUGUCGAAAAUAGCCAUGAACGACCAUUUUAAAUAAUACAGAAGGCUCACACCUACGGAUUGUGUGGUCGCUUAUGCUAUUUUCGACAAAAAUGGGUGUUGUGUGGCCAUAGAUCAUUGACCACAGGCUCGUUCACCUCACCCCACAUAUGUUUCCUUGCCAUAUAUCAAAUUAUUGGAUUUCUAGUGGAGACCAUUUUUUGGUCAAAAAUCCGUAGGUGUUAGCCUUUGGUAUUAUUGAAAAUGGUCGUUCAUUGCUAUUUUCGACAAAAUGGGGUUUGUGUGGCCAUUGAUCAUCAACGAGAGGCUCGAACACCUAACCCCACAUAUGUUUCCUUGCCAUAGAUCACAUUCUUGGAUUUCUGGUGGAGACCAUUUCUUGGUCAAAAAUCCGUAGGUGUUAGCCUUCGGUAUUAUUGAAAAUGGUCGUUCAUUCGAUUUUCGACAAAAAGAUGGGCGUUUUGUAGCCAUUGACCAUCAAACAAAGGCUCAUACACCUGACCCCACAUAUGUUUCCUUGUCGUAGGUCACAUUCUUGGAUUUUUGGUGGGGACCAUUUCUUAGUCAAAAAUCUCUACGUGUUAGCCUUUGGUAUUAUUGAAAAUGGUCGUUCAUGCUAUUUUCAUCAAAAAUAGGGGUUGUUUGGCCAUUGAUCAUCGACCAGAGGCUCAUACACAUCUCCCUACAUUUGUUUCCUUGCCACAGAUCACAUUCUUGGAUUUCUGGUGGAGACCAUUUCCUGGUCAAAAAUUUGUAGGUGUUAGCCUUUGGUAUUAUUUAAAAUGGUCGUUCAUCGCUAUUUUCGACAAAAAUGGGUGUUGUGUGGCCAUUGAUCGUCGACCAGAGGAUCAUAAACCUCAUCCCACAUAUGUUUCAUUACCAUAGAUCACAUUCUUGGAUUUCUAGUUGAGACCAUUUCUUGGUCGAAAAUCCGUAGUCGUUAGCCUUUGUUAUUAUUGAAAAUGGGCGUUUAUUCUAUUUUCGACAAAAAUGAGGGUUGUUUGGCCAUUGAUCAUCGACCGUAUGGUCGUACACUUGACCCCACAUAUGUUUCCUUGCCAUUGAUCACAUUCUUGGUGUUGGGACCUUUUGGGGACUUGUUCUCAAAUGCUAUAAGUUAAGAACAAGGCAACACAAAAAAUGUUAAACAUUAAAGUCCUUCGUCCUUCGGAGCAUUAUUUCCCUUGGGAUAUAAUGAUUUUCGGACGAAGGUUAUGAAGGACAUACCUUCAUCAACACAACAUAUAAUAAUGAAGAAGGAAUCAUAUGGAAUAUAAUGUAAACAAUUAUGUAUAAUUAUCAACUCAUUUCUAUAUUAUUAUUAUGGAAAAAUAGAAAUGAUAUCAAAUUACAAAUGUACCUUCGGCUUGAAAGAAGGUAAAAAUACAAGCGUGACGCAAAAGUAAAUGCCAAGUCAGCGUGAACAGUACGGGGGCACUGUUCACCUAUUUAUAGGCACGGGACAUAGCUCAUGUAAAAUUACAUCCAUGCCCUUUACAUUUGGUAGUAAUUUUAUAGUAAUCCACCGAGGUCUGAAUAGCCUUUUCAUCUUUAAGUCGGUUUCCUUUUCUGCUAUCACGCCGAAGCUUUCCUGCUCACAGCUUCGGCGCUGUGUCAACCUUCGUAUUCUUUGGGCUUCUCCCACUGUGGUACCGAUUCGAGUUCGAAGAUACCUGUUCACACAUUAUACUUCAGAAACAUUGUUAAAUCAUGUUUUUGAGGACCUUCGGAAGCCGAAGGCCCCCAACAGUAGCCCCUCGCAAUAUUAAUUUGUUAGAAUAAUAAAUUUAGAUUGCGACAUGGACGAAGGCCUUAAGCCGAAGGUCCGAAAAAAACACCUUUCCUUUGCUAGAAUAGCAACAUUCACUGACAAGCGGGGUUUUCCAAUUUUCAAUGCACUGGGCGUAUAAAUAAGAGCAUACCACGAGCUCACUUGGUACGCUUUCUUGCCAUCUGCUCUUGCUUGCUCAAUUUUUAGCUCUUGCGCACCAACACUUGCUUGGCUUUUUAAGUUUUUAAGCUUCGGCUUUGAAAACAGUUUUUUAGCAUUUUCGAAGAUGUCUGAAGACAAAAAGGCUGCUAUCAAGAUGAAGCUGAGCCUCUCUGAAGAGAAAAACCUGGGGUUUCUUGAAGCAAUGUCGAAAACCAAUACAGAAAAGAUCACCAAAGAGAUUUUAGAAGGUUUAUCUGAAGAUACUGAUGACAGCGACAGUUAUGAUGCGGAUAGCGGUGAUGAAGACUCCGAAGAUCGCCCUUGGCGACCAAGCCAUGCGGUUUUCGGCAAAUCAAGUAUCAAAGAAAAUCAUCUUGUCAACAAGAGGGGAAGAUAUUUCCGGGACUUGUCCGUUGUGAGGGCCGACGAAGGAGAGAAAACUUGUCCGACCCCUGAGGAAAAUGAAGUCGUAGUGUUCUGAAGCUUUUUGAAAGCUGGAUUACGAUUUCCCCUGAGCAGCUUUGUCGUAGAGGUGCUGAAAAUAUUUGAAAUCUAUCUUCACCAACUUACCCCCGAAGCAAUCAUAAGGAUGAAUAUCUUCGUGUGGGCCGUGAGAAGCCAAGGUCUGGAACCUGAUGCGAAAAGUUUCUGCAACAUACACGAAUUGUUAUACGAGACAAAACCCUGGGGUAAGGAGCAAUAUCACAAUAAUUUCGGCUGCUACAGUUUCGUCUCUCGGUCUGGGUCAAGCUGUCCUGUGCCAACCUUUCGGAAGAGAUGGCCCGGCGACUGGAUGACAGAAUGGUUUUAUGUGAAGAAUGACCUGAAAACACGGGAAGAUAUUAAAGGUAUAAUUAUGCGUCCUAUUUGGCAACGCUUCGGCCUACGGAGGCCGAAGGUUGAAAUGAAUGAAGCUGCCGAAGAAUGCCAGAGAGCCUUCGGAGUUAUUUGCUCUUUUAUUGGAACGAGGGAUCUGGUCCAAGAGCAUAUUGCCUUCAGAGUAUGGCCGCUCGCGGAAAAAUGGGAAAUGCCGCAAGAGACCAUGAAAGAGGCUGACGAAGGUGGACUUAUCAGGCUGAAGUAUACUUUCAAAUUCGGAGAUAAAUUCGUUGAGCCAGAUGAUGACUGGCUAAAAAGUAUUGAAAAUUUAAGUGAUGAACUACUUGGGGUUUAUUCAAGGGCCGAAGAUACUGCAUUGUCAGCAGCCUUCGGAGGCCGGAAAAAGAAAAGACUGAACCGAGUGUUUGACGCAAUUGGGUUCGUGUACCCCGACUACCACUCUCCAGCGCGGGGCCAAAAAAGAAAAAGCGCAUCUUCUGCACAGGAAACUGCUUCAGCCGCUCCCAGCGAGCCAGCGCCGAAGAGACAAAGGGUAAAGGUUCUCACACACCGGCCACGCUACAUUGAACCAGCUACAGUGCCUGAGUUCGCCGGUGAAACCUCUUCGGCCACCGAUAUUAAAGAACCAACUUCAGUGUCGAAGAUCGAAGAAAAAGCUGAAGCACCCUCAGCAGAGAAAACAGAAAACCGAGAACUGAAGGAACGAAAAUAUUGGAAAUUUUAAGUCCUUCAGCAAGUGUUGAGACAAUAAAAAACCAAAAGGGCCCAGCAGUGACCCCGAAAAGAAAAAGAAUGGUCAAUGUGCUAGAUGUACUGGAGACAAUUAAGUCCUCAAGCACGACUCCGAAGAAGACUGUUGAAACUUCCGAAGUGGAAACUGAAAUCUUUGAUACUAAAGCUCCAAAGCAACAAGCUGAGACUGAAGCUGGGCCUUCAGAGCCCACGAAGGUAAAAUCCUUGGAAACCGAGGAAGAAAAAAUGACGGAGCCAAUUCUUGUUGAAGAAAUCAGUGCUGUUGCCCCCGAAGCAUCCCCCAAAGUCCUUGAUUAUAUUGUUCGACAUGCUUCGGGGAAAAAGUUAUCAGAAGAAGUUUUUGAAGCUAAUCACUAUGCCAAAGAAUUGAAAUAUCCGAAGGGGGCACUAGUGUUCAAUGGUACAAAUGAAGAAGAUUUCCUAUACUGCCUCCCGGAUAACAAAGAAUUACUCGUCUGCCGGGAAAUGGCCCGAAGCAUGGGGUUUCCGAAACUGGAGGCUGGCCUCUGCGCGAUGACAAAGGACGAUCUUGCGGACAGCCUUGCGUAUAAUAGCCUGAAGGUACGAGAUCUGCGCAUUUGAAAACUUUAUGAUUUGAAAUCUAUUCUUUUAUUCUUAUACUAACUCUUUUAUAUAUAGGGUUUAAUACUAAGCAACGCGCUGAGAGCGCAAAAGAAUGCCAAAGACGAGAGCUAUGAAAUUGCUUUCAAUAACCUUCAAACAGAGGUUAUCAAACUAAGAAACGAAGCCUUGGAAAAGGACAAAAUUCUAGUUACAUUGGUGGAUAAAAUAAAGGAGGACGAAGCUGCCUCUAAAGCACAAGCUGCAGCUCAAAAGCACGAGAUUGACGAUCUUCGGAAGCAAUUAGCCCGAGCUAAAGAAGAACGCAUACUUGAAGAAACGAAGCGAGAACUUAGCGACCAAUGGGCAAAUCAUUUAGAAGGAACUGUUGAAGAGCUUCGUUCGUCCAAGAAAAGAUGCUAUGACAAAUCUAUGGAGUGUGUUAAGAAAAUGAAAGCUAGCUUCGCCAGUGUUGGAGCAUUCUCGAGCGAAGAAAACUUUACAAGAGGCAACCCCGAAGGUCCCAUCGAAUGGAUUAAUCACGAAGCUGAGGCCUUUGAGGAAAUUUUAAAUAGCCGCGGAGACAUAUGCGCUUUUUCGGGUGCCAGGGGGAUUGCCACCAUUUUGGAGAGAAAGGGCUGUGAGCAUAUAAAGAAUUUAGCGCAAUCCGAAGCUACUUUGUCCUUCGAAGAUGCAAAAGAUCCUUCAGCCGAAGCUAGCAUGGUUGGUGGAAAAUUUUUCACCGAUAUCUGGGACAAUGGUGGUCGAGAAAUGGCCCGAGAAAUUAUCCAAAAAAGCGAAAAAGGCAUCCAUGACGCUAGAAAAGUAGCAGAGGCUGUUGAGAAAAGCGCAGAGCCCGAAGGGCAAAUAGGUAUUAACUAAUGGUUUUUAUUGUGUUAUAAUUUUUGAUUUUAAACUUCGUUCGCAAUUUGUAAUAGCAAUGUAGCUGUAUCCUGUCCUCCCUCAGAUCCUACUAAAGCGCCUCCGGGCCCUCACCCGAAAGAUGACGAUGAAAUUAAAAAGAUGGCUGAAGCUAUCAUGGAUCAAGUUGUCAAUCAACUCCUGAACGAAGCUGCAGAAGUAGUACUUAGGGAAGACUAGGUGCUAUUGUAAAAACAUCUGAAAUGUAAUAUGUGUAAUAUCUUGUAACCCUGAAUGUAAUAUACUUGUUUUUUAUGGUUCAAUUCUUUACGAUGCAUGAAAUUUGCAUACGUACCGUUUUUGAGUCUUUGAAGAAAAAACACCUUCCCUUCUUUUCAUGCUUCGUGAAGAAGAAUUUUCAUUUAUCACAACGAUAUCCAUAGUGUUCUGAUGAAGAAUAACCAAGCUUCGUGAAAAUAUUUUCCGAAGCUACACUCCGAAGAUCAAUAUUGUAUCUCCUUGUGACUUAGCAUGAUUUUCCCUUUUUCAAAGCAUUCUUCCGAAGAUCAAUAUUGUGUCCCCUUCUUGUGCCAUAUGCAGCAUGAUGUAUGAUGCUUAUGCUAUGCGAAAUGAUAUGAUGAUGUUAUGCUAUGUAAAAUGGUAUUUAUUCCGAAGAUACACGCACAUCCCUGCAAUAAAACACAUAAUCUUUUUAAAUCAGCGUUGACUUUUCACUGUAAGCCUCCCUUAGGAGCUUCUUCGCCUUUUACUUCAGCGGAAUCAGCGUUUAUUUUUCGCUGUAAGCCUCCCUUAGGAGCUUCUUCGCCUUUUACUUUCGGCGGUAUUCGCGUUGACUUUUCGCGCUUCGCCUUUUACUUAGGCGGUAUCAGCGUUUAUUUUUCGCUGUAAGCUCUGCAUUCCUUUUGGAACGACUUUUGAGUAGAAAACUUACACUGCGCUCCCUUUGGAACGGCUUUUUGUAACUUUAGCAAACUUACUCUGCGUUCCUUGGAACGACUUUUUGUUGCUUCGAAGAAUUCAUGCCGUGCCUUUUAAAAUAAACUCUUGAUAAUUCGAAGGUCCUUCUUGAUAUCGCAAAUCUUUAAGCUUCAACAACUUAAGCCUAUAGAGGAGAUAUAUUUUCCUUGUGGCAGACAACGAAACCAUUACAUGAGAUUUAAAAAGUGUCCUUUAUUACACAGAAAAUAAAACUGAAUGGAAAAGACUACUAUCAAGGUAGGAUAUUUGUCAAUAAAUGUGCUUCGACUCUGGCACAGUGCUAUUGACUGUGCGAGCUUCGGACUGUUCUCUGAAGUCCCUUUGGUGUUGAGCAUAUUGGCCCCCUUCUGGCUGCUGGCCUUGUUGCAGCGGUGGUGGAGGCGGAGGCUGUUGCUAGGAAGCUUGAGGUUGACUCACCGAAGCUACAGAAACUGCAGGGUGGUUGCCUACAUAUUCUGGGAUAUAAGGCGAAUGAUACGAAGCAGUGUGCAUGAUCUGCUUCGGCUGACCCUGUUGUGCUGCAGCUUCGGCUAUCUCCUUUUGCUUCUGGAUGGUAACAUGGCACAUCCUGGUGGUAUGGCCCUUGUUUUCACCACAGAACAAGCAAAAUGUUCUCCUUGGUUGAUCUCCAAAUCUUCCGCCGAAGCCCCUGGUGCCUCUGCCUCUUGGAGCUGGCGGCCGGAAGGAGCUUUGAUGUUGCCCCGAAGCCUGUGAAGAGCACUUUGGCCUUUGCUGCUGACUCCCCUUAUCAUCAUUUUGAGUAGAGUUGUGAAUUGACCUGACGUGCCUCGGAUAAAAUCUUCCUCCGAAGCCCCUGGUCAUUUCGGAAAACCUGAAAGCCUCUUCCCUUCUUUGACGAAAAUCAUUGUCGGCCCGAAUAUACUCGUCCAUCUUUUGGAGCAGCUUCUCCAAAGUUUGAGGAGGCUUCCUAGCAAAGUACUGAGCUGAAGGUCCUGGCCGAAGUCCCUUGAUCAUGGCCUCAAUGACAAUUUCGUUGGGCACUGUUGGCGCUUGUGCCCUCAAACGCAAGAAUCUCUGGACAUACGCCUUAAGGUAUUCUUCGUGAUCCUGGGUGCACUGGAAUAGAGCUUGAGCAGUGACCGGCUUCGUCUGAAACCCUUGGAAGCUGGUUAACAACAUGUCCUUCAGCUUUUGCCAUGAAGUGAUCGUUCCUGGUCGAAGGGAGGAAUACCAGGUUUGAGCAACACUCCUGACAGCCAUAACAAAAGAUUUUGCCAUGACUGCAGUAUUGCCACCAUACGAAGAUACUGUUGCUUCGUAGCUCAUCAAAAACUGCUUCGGGUCUGAAUGGCCGUCAAAUAUAGGAAGCUGGGGCGGCUUGUAGGACGGAGGCCAAGGUGUAGCCUGCAGCUCAGCGGACAGAGGAGAAGCAUCAUCAAAAGCAAAAUUUCCAUGGUGGAAAUUCUCAUACCAGUCAUCUUCGUUGAAGAAAUCCUCUUGAUGAGGGUCUUUGUGCUGAGGUCUUCGGUUCUGCUCAUCCUGAGUAAGAUGACGAACUUCUUCAGAGGCUUCGUCUAUCUGCCUUUGCAGUUCAGCUAGCCUGGCCAUCUUUUCCUUCUUUCUCUGCACCUGUUGAUGAAGAAUCUCCAUGUCUCUGAUUUCUUGGUCUAGCUCAUCCUCUUGCAGUGUCAGGCUGACAGCCUUCCUCUUCUGGCUUCGGGCCUCCCGAAGGGAGAGAGUCUCCUGAUUGGGGUCCAGCGGUUGCAGAGAUGCAGCCCCAGUUGCUGAAGCUUUCUUUGGCGCCAUAGCGAAGGUUUAUGAUUGCCAAAGGUGUUCAAAACUCAAAGAGUGGAAGUGAGUUCACCGGAGGUGGGCGCCAAUGUUGGGGACUUGUUCUCAAAUGCUAUAAGUUAAGAACAAGGCAACACAAAAAAUGUUAAACAUUAAAGUCCUUCGUCCUUCGGAGCAUUAUUUCCCUUGGGAUAUAAUGAUUUUCGGACGAAGGUUAUGAAGGACAUACCUUCAUCAACACAACAUAUAAUAAUGAAGAAGGAAUCAUAUGGAAUAUAAUGUAAACAAUUAUGUAUAAUUAUCAACUCAUUUCUUUAUUAUUAUUAUGGAAAAAUAGAAAUGAUAUCAAAUUACAAAUGUACCUUCGGCUUGAAAGAAGGUAAAAAUACAAGCGUGACACAAAAGUAAAUGCCAAGUCAGCGUGAACAGUACGGGGGCACUGUUCACCUAUUUAUAGGCACGGGACAUAGCUCAUGUAAAAUUACAUCCAUGCCCUUUACAUUUGGUAGUAAUUUUAUAGUAAUCCACCGAGGUCUGAAUAGCCUUUUCAUCUUUAAGUCGGUUUCCUUUUCUGCUAUCACGCCGAAGCUUUCCUGCUCACAGCUUUGGCGCUGUGUCAACCUUCGUAUUCUUUGGGCUUCUCCCACUGUGGUACCGAUUCGAGUUCGAAGAUACCUGUUCACACAUUAUACUCCAGAAACAUUGUUAAAUCAUGUUUUUGAGGACCUUCGGAAGCCGAAGGCCCCCAACAGGACCAUGCUUCGUCGCCGAAGGUCCUGCGGAAAGAAAACAGCUUCGGCUGAAGCUGCUUCAACAUAAUGCCGAAGGCACCAUUCAUGAAGCUUCAUUAUUACAACAUGUCCGAAGAUGAGGGAUCGAACCGACUUAAAGAUAGAAUGACCUUUUAGCCCACAAAGGUCUGAGUCAAUGUUGUAAACUUUUAUGGGGGGCAUGAUUGUAAUUCCUCAUAGGCUAUGUCCUGUGCCUAUAAAUAGUGAACAGUAUUCCUUUACUGUUCACGCAUUCCUGUAAUUGCAAACGCAUCACUCGGGAAUUAUUGUUUGUCAAGGCAAAGGUAUAAAUGUACCUAAAUGUUAUAUUCAAACAUCUUAAAUUCAUAUAAUAAGAUAUGUGAAUGAUGUCAUUUAUUUCCAAUAUAAUUAUCUUUAAUGUUUCACGUUUUACAUUACUCUAUAUUAUCUUUAUAAGUUUAAUUACGAAGGUGAAACCUUCGUAAUAUUAUGCUCGUGACCUUCGUCCGAAGUUCAUUAAAUCCUUGUGGAGAUAAUGUUUCGGCGGACGAAGGGUAUUGGUAUUUAACAUUUUAUGUUGCCUUGUUCUUAAUUGAUAGCAUUUGAGAACAAGUCCCCAACAUUGGCGCCCACCUCCGGUGAACUCACUUCCACUUUUUUGAGUUGAUGGCUUCGUUCAACAAUCAAGCUGGAGCUGCUUCGGCUCCGAAGCUGGUACUCCCGAUAACAGGCGGUUCAUGCUCAGAGCCAGCCAACAAGAAGCAGAAGAAGGAGGCACAGAGAAGGGUACAGCAUGUCGGGGUGCAAGGACCCUUCAUCAAGUCAAGAUGGUCUCACAUUCCAAUUACCUUCUCUCAAGAGGAUCUUCAACUCAAGGAUUACCCACACAACGAUGCUAUGGUUAUCUCUUGUGUGAUCAAAGGAUUUCUGGUCCAUAAUGUUUUGGUUGAUACAGGCAGCGCAGCUGAUAUCAUAUUUGCUAAGGCCUUCAGACAGAUGCAAGAGCCCGAGGACAAAAUCCAUGAUGCCACACAUCCCCUUUGUGGCUUCGGAGGAAGGCAGAUUGUAGCACUUGGAAAAAUCACAAUGCCAGUAACCUUCGGAUUCAUUAACAACACAAGGACUGAACAAGUUGUAUUUGAUAUUGUUGACAUGAAAUACCCUUACAAUGCAAUCAUUGGUCGUGGUACUCUCAAUGCCUUCGAAGCAAUUCUUUAUCCAGCUUAUCUUUGCAUGAAGAUACCUUCGGACCAAGGGCCCAUUGCUAUUCAUGGAAGUCAGGAAGCUGCUAGAAGGGCCGAAGGAAAUUGGACAGACUCAAAAGCAAUCCAUAAUAUAGAUGGAGCUGAAGCUUGUGAGCAAUACAAGUUUAGAAGGGAAAAAGCUGCUUCGGCUGAUCAGCCGAAGCCCAUGCUCUUGUGUGAGGACAUAACAGAGCAGAAGGUGCUGUUGGGAUCUCAACUGUCCGAAGAACAGGAGAAAACCUUGAUAAUGUUUUUGUUCAACAAUAAAUAUGUUUUUGCUUGGUCAGCUAAUGAUCUUUGCGGAGUUAACAGGGAUGUUAUUGAGCACUCGCUCAAUGUUGAUCCAUCCUUUAGACCCAGAAAGCAGAGGCUUCGAAAGAUGUCUGAUGACAAGGCCGAAGGUGCUCGGAAUGAAGUGAAAAGACUCCUCAGUGCCGGAGUUAUCAGAGAGGUAAAAUACCCAGAAUGGCUGGCUAACACUAUUAUGGUAAAGAAGGCCAAUGGUAAAUGGAGGAUGUGUAUUGAUUUUACUGAUCUCAAUAAGGCCUGUCCGAAGGACGAGUUUCCAUUGCCAAGGAUAGAUUCCCUAGUUGAUGCAGUAGCUUCAUCAGAGCUUAUGAGUCUGCUGGAUUGUUAUUCAGGCUAUCACCAAAUUUGGAUGAAGAAGGAGGAUGAACCGAAAACCAGCUUCAUAACCCCUAGUGGAACAUAUUGUUACCUUCGGAUGCCUGAGGGGCUUAUGAAUGCUGGAGGAAGCUUUAGCAGAAUGACAGCGAAGGUUCUUUAUUCCCAGAUAGGCAGAAAUGUGCUAACUUAUGUUGAUGAUAUCAUUGUAAAAAGCACGAAGCAAGAUAAUCACAUUGCUGAUCUGCAGGAGACCUUCGCUAAUUUUAGACAGGCUGGUUUAAAGUUGAACCCAGAAAAAUGUGUCUUCGGAGUAAAGAAAGGGAAAUUUCUUGGCUGUCUAGUCUCAACAAAAGGAAUUGAGGCUAAUCCAAACAAAAUCGAAGCUAUCCUUUGAAUGGAACCACCAAGUGCAAAGAAGGGGGCUUAAAGAUUGACAGGAAGACUGGCAUCUCUCAACAGAUUCAUAUCUAGAUCAGCAGAGAGAAAUUUACCAUUUUUCGAAGUGCCGAAGUCAGCCAAAGUUUUUCAAUGGGGACCAGUCCAGCAGAGAGCCUUCGAAGAGCUCAAGCAAUAUUUGAUAGAUCUAACAACCCUAACUCCACCAACGCCAGGGGCUCCUUUGUUGUUAUAUGUGGCAGCUUCGCACUCAGCGGUAAGUGCAGCACUUGUCCAGGAGAAGCUUGAAGGCCAAAUCAAAAAGCAGGCCCCAAUAUACUUUGUAUCCGAAGUUCUUAGUUUAUCAAAGAAAAAUUAUACAGAACUGGAGAAGGUACUGUAUGCUGUUUUGAUGGCCUCCAGGAAACUUCGGCAUUAUUUUCAAGCUUACAAUAUAAUUGUUCCUUCUUCACAACCGUUGAAGGAUAUUAUGAGAAAUCGAGAAGCUACUGGAAGGAUUAGAAAAUGGGCUGCAGAGCUCAAUGAAUUUUGUAUUGAUUAUGUGCAUAGGUCUUCGAUUCAAUCCCAAGCGUUGGCAGACUUCAUUGCUGACUGGACGCCAGGGGCUCAAGAGGAAGAAACGAAUAAAGAUGUCAAAGUAUGGACAGUGUUUUGUGAUGGGUCUUGGGGAACCUUCGGAGCAGGAGCAGCUGCUGUGUUGGUUUCACCUUCCAAAGUUAAAACUUCUUAUGCGACAAGACUUGAUUUCAGUUGCACAAACAAUAUUGCUGAGUACGAAGCUCUGCCUUGGGUCUUCGGAAGUUAAAGGCAAUGGGAAUCAGAAGGGCCAUUCUUAAAACUGAUUCCCAAGUUAUUUCUGGUCAUAUUGACAAGAGCUACAAAGCAAGAGAUCCAAAGCUUGAAAAAUAUUUAGAUACAGUCCGAAGGAUUGAAGCUUCCUUCGAAGGAUUCUCUGUUAAAAAUAUUCCUCGUGGAGAAAAUGAGUAUGCUGAUCUAUUAGCCAAGUCAGCAGCACAGGGGCUGCCCUUACCUUCGGAAGUAUUUUUCGAAACAAUAAAAGCACCUUCGGUCGAGCUUCUUGAAAGAGCAGUCCUCAACAUAUCCCCUGUCUAUAGUGAAGAUUGGAGAACUGAGAUCAUCUCUUUCCUUCAAGGUAAUUUUCUUUCAGAUGACGAAGCUUAUAACAGGAGGAUAGAAGCAAGAGCUCGACCAUAUGUCAUAAUAGAAGGGGAAUUAUACAAGCGGGGGGUCUGUUCCCCGUUACUCAAGUGUUUAUCCAGAGCCGAAGGCAUAGAAUUGAUGAAGAAAAUACACGCAGGCCUGUGUGGAUCUCACAUUGGAUCUAGGCCUUUGCUCGGAAAAGUUUUUCGUCAAGGAUUUUAUUGGCCAAAAGCAGCUUCGGAUGCAGCGGAUUUAGUUCAAAAGUGCGAAGGUUGUCAGAAAUGUGCUAGAGAUCAAAAACAACCUUCGUCUUUAACUCAAUUAAUACAACUCACUUGGCCGUUGCAAAGGUGGGGCCUUGAUUUGCUAGGUCCAUUACCACCAGCACAGGGGAACUUAAGAUAUGUUGUAGUGGCAGUGGAAUAUUUUUCUAAGUGGAUUGAGGCAAAGCCUUUAGCCACAAUAACUUCGGUUACUAUUCAAAAGUUUUUUUGGCAAAAUAUUGUUUGUCUCUUCGGAGUGCCGAAGGCUAUUACUAUGGAUAAUGGGACACAGUUUGAUUCUGAAGCUUUCAGAGAAUUUUGCGAUCAAAUCGGCACGAAGAUCUAUUUCGCAUCAGUUCGACAUCCGGAGUCAAAUGGACUUGUUGAAAGAGCUAAUGGGAUCAUAAUGACAGGAAUAAUGAAGUUAAUCGUCAAUCAGCCCAGGGGAAAGUGGCUGAGACGAAUUAACCUAAGUGGUGUGGAGCCAUAAUACAACAGUGUCAAGAUCAACAUGCUUUACGCCAUUUAAACUAUUAUUUGGUGACGAAGCAAUUACCCCGGAAGAAGCCAAAACGGGAUCAAUAAGAACAAUAGCUUCGGCAGAAGGCGAAGAUGAAGCUGAUUAUUCUGUGGAAAAAGAUGCUAUAGAAGGGAUCAGGCUUCAAGUUGUGGAAAACAUCAACAAAUAUCAAGCUGAAACAAUAAAAUGGUGUGACAGAAAGGUUAGGCUGAAGAACAUUGAACCAGGACACUUGGUGCUUCGAAGAGUGGCCAACCCUGACACAGUAGGCAAAUUACAGCUGAAGUGGGAAGGACCUUUUUUGGUAGUAUCUUCGUCAAGACCCGGUUCCUACAGAUUGAAGGAUAUGGACGGCAACGACAUUCCUAGAUCAUGGAAUGAGGAUGAGCUUCGGCGAUAUUAUGUUUAGCUUGAUGUAUUUUUUUCUAUUCUUUUUUGUGGCACCCUUUUCCUUUCCAAAGGGGGAGAAAGGUUUUUAAUGGGGCCACAACAUGUAAUUUUUCUUUUCCUUAUUUCAAUUCUAUAAGAGUGACAUCCCCCAAAAAAUGUAAAUGUAAGUGCAAAGGAAAAAGAAAAGAAAUCAGGGAGAAGCUCAAAAGUCGUUCCUAAGGGAAUGCAGAGCUCACAGCGAAAAAUAAACGCUGAUUCCACCGAAAGUAAAAGGCGAAGAAGCUCCUAAGGGAGGCUUACAGCGAAAAAUAAACACUGAUUCCGCUGAAAGUAAAAGGCGAAGAAGCUCCUAAGGGAGGCUUACAGCGAAAAGUCAGCGCUGAUACACCGAAAAGUAAACGGUGGAGCCGAAAAGUAAAUGGCAAAAAGAUUCGAAUCAUUCCCAAGGGGAUGAAGGGCUAUGAUUAUGGUUUUUGAAUAUGUGUUUCGAUAUUCAUUUGCACGAUACAUUACAUCAUGUCAUUUGCAUUCAUAAACAUUCAUUUAGAUAUAUAUAGAAUCAUCAUCAUCAUACCACACAAAAAAGAUAGAUGCUUCGGCAAUGAGGAAAAACUUUGAAGAAAGAGGAAAAUUUUCAUGCUUCGUUGUGUACGAAAAGAAGUGAAGGUUUUUUUCGCCUUUGGCUCAAAAGUGCAGUUUCGUUCACAGCAAAGCAGAUUGUACACGGAUAAAGGAGACAAGAUAUAUUACAAGGUAUGUACAAAUUUACAUAAGUUUUUCUUCCAUAAUUAUAUUACAGGGAUCUCUCCAGAAUUUUUUGCAGGCAAAUCUAUUAUAGCAACUAUUAAGCUUCAGGCCGUCAUACUUCAGCUUCGUCAUACUUCAGCUUCGUCAUCCUGCACAUAUUAAAGAACAGAAUGAGAAAGGUGCAAAUUUCAAGGAGAAGGUAAAAGUACCAAAUAUAAGUUUCUCACUGGCUUAAGGUGGCUUCGAGCUUCGUCAGCAGCCAUUUUCGCCCGCCAUUUACCCAAAUUUGGGUCAUAAAUCUAUUUCCGAUGCUUCGGGCUAGGCUUGGGAUAUCAACCAAAUCUGCUGCUGACAAGCUGAAGUUUGGCCUAUUCACAAUUUUUCCGUGUGUACAGCCAGCCUUUAGAAAAGCGGUAGCUAUGCCUCGAGAAGCUACCAGGGCGCAGAAGUCAGCAUGCCCAGCAAUAACUUCGUCAAGAGCAUCAACCUCGCCUUCAAUAUAUUCCAAGGUGCUGGGCAGGUUUUCAGCUGAAGGUGAAAAUUUUUCAGAACUGGCUCCGAUAGAGUGAAACACGUCCUUCAUCCGCUGCACGCAUCGGCUGCCGAAAUUUAGGCAUUUCUCUUGGAGAUCCUUCAAUGAUUUUUGCAAAUUUGAAUUUUUCUCGAUCUCAGUCUUGAGACUUGCUUCAAUGUUCUUCUUUUCUUGCUCAUAUUUUUCUGACUUUUUGAGUAAUUCAUUCUUUAAACUGUCAUUUUCGGUUUGGACCUCAGCCAAGGAGCCUUCCAUAGACUGAAUAACAAAGUCUUUCUUUUCUAGGGCACCUUCGUGUUCUUUAGCUAUGAUUUCAAGGUCUUGAAUAGUGAAGUCCUUCUUGAGAACAGCUUCGUAAUUUUCAACUUUUUCUUCUAAAUCUUUGAUGAUAGCUUUAUUCUUCUCUUCUUCAAGAUCUUGUUGCAUUUUUAGCACUUUACUUAAUAGUAUACUCUGCCAAAACAACCUUCGUCAAAAAACGACAUAAAAAUAAUAAUACUAAUAAAAUAAUAAUAAUAUUUUUUACCUUAAAAUUAGCAUAGAGCAGACUACCGGCGAUAUGUUGUCACUGAUACCUGCAAAGGUCCGCUUCUAUCUUCGGCAGGCCAACGCUUUUGGAGAAGGUCCUAACAACUUUGGCUUCGGUGCGAUUCCGAAGGCAUCUUAGCUUCCCUUCGUUGACCCCACCAAAUAGCAUAGACUCUGGUUUAUAUCCGCAGGAUAUGGCAUAUUUCUUCAGCUCUUCUUUUUCAGCACUUGUUAAUUCUUGUCCAAGUAAAUCUUGAAAGUUAAAAUUUUCUUCCUCCAAAAUGUCCUUAACCUGCUCCUUUCCCUUUUCAGUAGCCGUGUUCACCGCAGCCACAUCAGCUUCUUCUUCAGCCAUUUUUAGAAGAAUAUUGUCAAUAACUUCCAGUGUGGUUUCCAGGUUUGAAUCUUCAGUGGUCCCGGCUUCGUCUCCGGUAGCUUCGGCUCCGGUAGUUUCGGCGGCUUCGACUCCGGUAGCUUCGGCUCCGGCAGUUGCAAUUUCAGUGGUUUCAGCCCCGGUAGCUUCGGCUGCGGCGGUUUCGGCUUCGGCGGUCUCGGCAAUAACAAUUUUUGACGCCGAUACAGGUGGCGGCGUCUGAUGAAUCACAUCUGUCACUUGAAUGAUUCUCCGUUUUUUCGGCUUCGCAGGGCUUUCUGCUGCCGAAGCUUCUUUGUCCUUCUGAAAAAACUUCGUCAGUUCCGGCGCCAGCGGACUUAGCUUGACAGGCAAAGAUUCAGUCAUUACCUUCAGAAUUUCUUCUACUUCGGCAGCAGAAGGUGUCGCAGGAAUUUCCUCAUCUCAGACCAAUCUCUUUGGUUCUGGAGAUACAGGUUUUGGAGAUGCAGCUUUUCUUUUUCUUGGAGCAACUACCUUCGGUUCAAACUUUUCUUUCUUCUUUGGUUGAUCUUCGUCGUCUUUAAUCAAAGUGCUAGCUACUCUUUUCCUUUUUUGCCCUUCGGCACCCUUGUCUAGCCGCUCGUAGUCAGGGUAUUCAAAGCCUAUAGCAUCAAGCAUUCUGUUUAGUCUUUGUUUCGGCCGGGUGCCGAAGGCUGCUGUCAUCAAUUGAUCCUCCUUUUUAGAAUAAUUCCCAAGAAUUUCAGUACUCAUUACUUCGAUUGUUUCGAGCCAUUCUUGGCAGGGUGCUUUAAAAUAUUUCUUGAACUUAUAGUGGUAAGGCAGGCGGACAAGCUCCCCCUCCUUCUUCUCUCUUUCGAGCUUCGGCAUAGCCCAUUCCUUCAUAGUUGGAAAUAUUUUGAACGCCAAAAAUUCCUGCACUAGAUCUCUAGUGCCAAUGUGCUCUGCAAUAAUCCUGAAUUCGGCCAACGCCGUUUGGGUUGGACCUUCUGGUGUCAUACUGCAUUGGGGUCUGGUCUCUCCGAAGAUCAGUUCAAGCGGACUCUGUACCAGCUUUUCCUUGUCAUCGUCAACUUUGACGUAGAACCAUUCCGAUUUCCAGCCUGCCGGCCACUUGCUUCGGUAGCUGAUCACAGGAAAUUUUGUACUUUUUCGAUAGGCAAAAUUAUAACAACCAAAAUUUUCAUGUAACCCAUCCUUUCUGGCCUUGGUUUGGUAAUGUAGCUCGUGCACUCGGCAGAAACCUUCGGCAAACGGUUCCACCCCCUGGCUUCGGAGAGACCAAAUAUAAAUACUAAGCCUAACAAUAGCGUUAGGAGUUAGUUGAUGAAGGUAGAUCCCAAAUUUCUUUAGCACAUCAGCAAUCAUCCUAUUCAAAGGAAAUCUCAAACCAGCUUUGAGGAAACUCUUGAAAAUCACUAUUUCAUCUUUAUGUGGCUUCGGGGUAGUUUCUUCUCCACUGAAGCGAAUCAGCUUUUUCUCUUCUUCGCUAAAGUAGCCCAACUUCACCAUCUUAGGAAAAUCAGCCUUGGAGAUGGUUGACUUUCCGAAGUCUAGGUGGCUGGGCUUGCUCGGUACUGUGAUACUGUGAUCACCUUCAGAAUCAGUCUCUUCAAUAUCUGCUUGUUCUGCUUCAGCAGCAGGGAUGUCUUCCGAUGUCAUCAACCCAGAUCGCUUCAUUGCUUCCGAGAUAGGAACAAUUUCCAUAGCUUCGACUUCAUCUCCUUCGCGCUCAACUCUAGCAGUAGAGCGCACUCUGGCCAUUUGAUUUUAAAUUUCUUGAAAAUUUCUUGGAAAUUAAUAACCUUUCUUCCGAAGCUCUUCUUCUGACGAAGCAGACACCAAACUGGAGCUUCGUUUGAAUGCGAAAGUCAAGCUUCGACUAUGGUUAAAUUUUUGGCAGCAGAACAGUGCAAUAGCAAUGAAUGCUGUGGUAACUUCACACCUAUCUGUCUGUUUAUAUAGUGCUGCAGGUAAGAAGGUGAAUCGUCAGGAUUUUCACACCAGGCAAACAGUUGCUCGCACCCGCUGCGCGGUGGGCCGCAAAAACCAAAAUAGUGAACCUGCAUGGUGGGACUGCUACGCGCUCGAAAACUGUAUCGUUUCUCGACAACGAGCUCAGGGAAGGUGUUUUUCGGACCUUCGGCUUCCUGAAGCCUAAGAGACUUUUUUCAUGGAUCAAGCUCGUUACGAAAAACGAUCUAGCACCGCGAAGGGGCUACUGUUGGGACCAUGCUUCGUCGCCGAAGGUCCUGCGGAAAGAAAACAGCUUCGGCUGAAGCUGCUUCAAUGUAAUGCCGAAGGCACCAUUCAUGAAGCUUCGGUAUUACAGCAUGUCCGAAGAUGAGGGAUCGAACCGACUUAAAGAUAGAAUGACCUUUUAGCCCACAAAGGUCUGAGUCAAUGUUGUAAACUUUUAUGAGGGGUAUGAUUGUAAUUCCUCAUAGGCUGUGUCCUGUGCCUAUAAAUAGUGAACAGUAUUCCUUUACUGUUCACGCAUUCCUGUAAUUGCAAACGCAUCACUCGGGAAUUAUUGUUUGUCAAGGCAAAGGUAUAAAUGUACCUAAACGUUAUAUUCAAACAUCUUAAAUUCAUAUAAUAAGAUAUGUGAAUGAUGUCAUUUAUUUCCAAUAUAAUUAUCUUUAAUGUUUCAUGUUUUACAUUACUCUAUAUUAUCUUUAUAAGUUUAAUUACGAAGGUGAAACCUUCGUAAUAUUAUGCUCGUGACCUUCGUCCGAAGUUCAUUAAAUCCUUGUGGAGAUAAUGCUUCGGCGGACGAAGGGUAUUGGUAUUUAACAUUUUAUGUUGCCUUGUUCUUAAUUCAUAGCAUUUGAGAACAAGUCCCUAACACUUGGAUUUCUGGUGGAGACCAUUUCUUGGUCAAAAAUCUUUAGGUGCUAGCCUUCGGUAUUAUUGAAAAUGGUCGUUGAUGGCUAUUUCUGACAAAAAUGGAGGUUGUGUGGCCAUUGAUCAUCGACCAGAGGCUCGUACACCUCACCACAAUAUAUUUCCUUGACGUAGGUCACAUUCUUGGAUAUCUGGUGGAGACCAUUUCUUGGCCAAAAAUCCGUAGGUGUUAGCCUUCGGUAUUAUUGAAAAUGGUCGUUCAUGGCUAGUUUCGACAAAAAUGGGGGUUGUGUGGCCAUUGAUCAUUAACUAGAGGCUCGUUCACCUCACCUCACAUAUGUUUCCUUCCCAUAGAUCACAUUCUUGGAUUUCUGGUGGGGACCAUUACUUGGUCAAAAAUCCGUAGGUGUUAGCCUUGGGUAUAUUUGAAAAUGGUCAUUCAUGGCUAUUUUUGGCAAAAAUGGGGGUUGUGUGGCAAUUGAUCAUUGACCAGAGGCUCAUUCACAUCACCCCACAUAUGUUUCCUUGCCAUAGAUCACAUUCUUGGAUUUCUGGUGGAGACCAUUUCUUGGUAAAAAAUCCGUAGGUGUUAGCCUUCGGUAUUAUUGCAAAUGGUCGUUCAUGCUAUUUUCGUCAAAAAAUGGCGGUUGUGUGGCCAUAGAUCGUUGACCAUAGGCUUGUUCACCUCAACCCACAUAUAUUUCCUUACCAUAGAUCAAAUUAUUGGAUUUCUGGUGGAGACCAUUUUUUCGUCAAAAAUCCGUAGGUGUUAGCCUUCGGUAUUAUUGAAAAUGAUCGUUCAUGGCUAUUUUCGACAAAAAUGGGGGUUGUGUGGCCUUUGAUCAUCAAUCAAAGGCUCGUACACCUCACCCCACAUAUGUUUUCUUGCCAUAGGUCACAUUCUUGGAUUUCUGGUGGAGACCAUUUCUUGAUCAAAAAUCCGUAGGUGUUAGCCUUCGAUAUUAUUGAAAAUGGUCGUUCAUGGCUAUUUUCAACAAAAAUGGGGGUUGUGUGGCCAUUGAUCAUUGACCCAAGGCUUGUUCAACUCACCCCACAUAUGUUUCCUUGCCAUAGAUCACAUUCCUGGAUUUCUAGUGGAGACCAUUUUUUAGUCAAAAAUCCGUAGGUGUUGGCCUUCAGUAUUAUUGAAAAUGGUCAUUCAUGGCUAUUUUCGAUAAAAAUGGGGGUUGUGUGGCCAUUGAUCAUUGACCAGAGGCUCAUUCACUUCAUCCCACAUAUGUUUACUUGCCAUAGAUCACAUUCUUGGAUUUCUAGUGGAGACCAUUUCUUGGUAAAAAAUCCUUAGGUGUUAGCCUUAGGUAUUAUUGAAAAUGGUCGUUCAUGCUAAUUUCGACAAAAAUAGGGGUUGUGUGGCCUUUGGUCAUCAACCAGAGGCUCGUACACCUCACCCCACUUAUGUUUCCUUGCCAUAGAUCACAUUCUUGGAUUUCUGGUGGAGACCAUUUCUUGGUCAAAAAUCCAUAUGUGUUAGCCUUGGGUAUUAUUGAAAAUGGUCGUUCGUGGCUAUCUCCGACAAAAAUGGGGGUUGUGUGGCCAUUGAUCAUCGACCAGAGGCUUGUACACCUCACCCCACAUAUGUUUCCUUGCCAUAGGUCACGUUCUUGGAUUUCUGGUGGAGACCAUUUCUUGGUCAAAAAUCCGUAGGUGUUAGCCAUCGGUAUUUUUGGAAAUGAUCGUUCAUGGCUAUGUUCGACAAAAAUGGGGGUUGUGUGGCCAUUGAUCAUUGACCAGAGGCUCGUUCACCUCACCCCACAUAUGUUUCCUUGCCAUAGAUCACAUUAUUGGAUUUCUGGUGGAGACCAUUUCUUGGUAACAAAUCCUUAGGUGUUAGCCUUCGGUAUUAUUGAAAAUGGUCGUUCAUGCUAUUUUCGACAAAAAUAGGGGUUGUGUGGCCUUUGAUCAUCAACUAGAGGCUCGUACACCUCACCCCACUUAUGUUUCCUUGCCAUAGAUCACAUUCUUGGAUUUCUAGUGGAGACCAUUUCAUGGUCAAAAAUCCAUGUGUGUUAGCCUUCGGUAUUAUUGAAAUUGGUCGUUCGUGGCUAUUUCCGACAAAAAUGGGGGUUGGGUGGCCAUUGAUCAUCGACCAGAGGCUCGUACACCUCACCCCACAUAUGUUUCCUUGCCAUAGGUCACAUUCUAGGAUUUUUGGUGGAGACCAUUUCUUGGUCAAAAGUCCGUAGGUGUUAGCCUUCGGUAUUAUUGAAAAUGGUCGUUCAUGGCUAUUUUCGACAAAAAUGGGUGUUGUGUGGCCAUUGAUCAUUGACCAGAGGCUCGUUCACCUCACCCCACUUAUGUUUCCUUGCCAUAGAUCACAUUCUUGGAUUUCUAGUGGAGACCAUUACUUGGUCAAAAGUCCUUAGGUGUUAGCCUUCGGUAUUAUUGAAAAUGGUCGUUCCUGCUAUUUGCGACAAAAAUAGGGGUUGUGUGUCUUUUGAUCAUCAACCAGAGGCUUGUACACCUCACCCCACUUAUGUUUCCUUGCCAUAGAUCACAUUCUUGGAUUUCUGGUGGAGACCAUUUCAUGGUCAAAAAUCCAUAUGUGUUAGACUUCGAUAUUAUUGAAAAUGGUCGUUCGUGGUUAUUUCCGCAAAAAUGGGGGUUGUGUGGCCAUUGAUCAUCGACCAGAGGCUCGCACACCUCACCCCACAUAUGUUUCCUUGCCAUAGGUCACAUUCUUGGAUUUCUGGUGGAGACCACUUCUUGGUCAAAAAUCCGUAGGUGUUAGCCUUCGGUAUUAUUGAAAAUGGUCGUUCAUGGCUAUUUUCGACAAAACUGGGGGUUGUGUGGCCAUUGAUCAUUGACUAGAGGCUCGUUCACCUCACCUCACUUAUGUUUACUUUCCAUAGAUCACAUUAUUGGAUUUCUGGUGGAGACCAUUUCUUGGUCAAAAAUCCGUAGGUGUUAGCCUUCAGUAUUAUUGAAAAUGGUCACAUUCUUGGAUUUUUGGUGGAGACCAUUACUAGGUAAAAAAUCUGUAGUUCUUUGCCUUCGGUAUUAUUGAAAAUGGUCGUGCAAGCUAUUUUGGACAAAAAUGGGGGUUGUGCGGCCAUUGAUCAUCGACCAGAGGCACGUACACUUCACCCAACGUAUGUUUUCUUGCCAUAGAUCACAUUCUUGGAUUUUUGAUGGAAACCAUUUCUUGGUCAAAAAUCCAUAGGUGUUAGCCUUCGUUAUUAUUGAAAAUGGUCGUUCAUGCUAUUUUCGACAAAAAUGGGGGUUCUGUAGCCAUUGAUCAUCGACCAGUUACUCGUACACCUCAACCCACAUAUGUUUCCUUGCCAUAGGUCACAUUCUUUGAUUUCUGGUGGAGACCAUUUCUUGGUCAAAAACUUGUAGCCUUUGGUAUUAUUGAAAAUGGUCAUUCAUGGCUAUUUUCGACAAAAAUGGGGGUCGUGUGGCCAUUGAUCAUUGACCAGAGGCUCGUUCACCUCACCCCACAUAUGUUUCCUUGCCAUAGAUCACAUUCUUGGUUUUCUGGUGGAGACCAGUUCUUGGUCAAAAAUCUGUAGGUGCUAGCCUUCAGUAUUAUUGAAAAUGGUCGUUCAUGGCUAUUUUCGACAAAAAUGGGGGUUGUAUGGCCAUUGAUCAUUGACCAAAGGCUCGUUCACCUCACCCCACAUAUGGUUCCUUGCCAUAUAUCAUAUUCUUGGAUUUCUGGUGGAGACCAGUUCUUGAUCAAAAAUCCGUAGGUGUUUGCCUUCGGUAUUAUUGAAAAUGGUCGUUCAUGCUAUUUUCAACAAAAACAGGUGUUGGGUGGCCAAGAAAUCCAAGAAAUGGCCUCUACCAAAAAUCCAAGAAUGUGACCUAUGGCAAGGAAACUUAUGUGGGGUCUGGUGUACGAGACUGUGUUCGAUGGUCAAUGGCUACACAACCCCUAUUUUUGUCGAAAAUAGCAUCAACGACCAUUUUCAAUAAUACCGAAGGCAAACACCUACGGAUUUUUGACCAAUAAAUUGUCUCGACCAAAAAUCCAAAAUGUGAUCUAUGGCAUAGAAACAUAUGUGGGGUGAGGUGUACGAGCCUCUGGUCGAUGAUUAAUGAUCACACAACACCUAUUUUUGUCGAAAAUGGCAUGAACGACCAUUUUCAAUAAUACCCAUGGCUAACAACUAUGAAAUUUUGGCCAAGAAUGUGAUCUAUGGAAAGAAAACAUACGUGGGGUGAGGUGUACGAGCCUCUGAUCGAUGAUGAAUGGCCACACAACUCCCAUUUUUGUCGAAAAUAGCAUGAAGGACCAUUUUCAAUAAUACCGAAGGCUAACACCAAUGGAUUUUUGGCCAAGAAAUGGUCUCCACCAGAAAACCAAGAAUGUGAUCUAUGGCAAGGAAACCUAUGUGGGGUGAGGUGUAGGAGCCUCUAGUCGAUGAUCAAAGGCCACACAACCUUCAUCUUUGCCGAAAAUAGCCAUUAAACGACCAUUUUCAAUAAUACCUACGGGUUUUUUACCAAGAAAUGAUCUCCACCAAAAAUCCAAGAAUUUGAUCUAUGGCAAGGAAACAUAUGUGGGGUCAGGUGUAUGAGCCUCUGGUCGAUGAUCAAUGGCUACACAACCCCCAUUUUUGUCCAAAAUAGCAAGAAAGAGAAUUUUCAAUAAAACCGAAGGCUAACACCUACGAAUUUUUGACCAACAAAUGGACCCCACCAGAAGUCCAAGAAUGUGACCUAUGGCAAGGAAACAUAUAUGGGGUCAGGUGUACGAGCUUCUAUUCGAUGGUCAAUGGCUACACAACCCCCAUUUUUGUCAAAAAUAGAAUGAACGACCAUUUUCAAUAAUACCGUAGGCUAACACCUUCAGAUUUUUGACUAAGAAAUGGUCUCCACCAGAAAUCUAAGAAUGUGACCUAUGACAAGGAAACAUAUGUGGGGUUAGGUGUACAAGCCUCUGGUCGAUGAUCAAUGGCCCCACAACCCCCAUUUUGUCGAAAAUGGCCAUGAAGAACCAUUUUCAAUAAUACUGAAGGCUAACACCUAGGAUUUUUACCAAGAAAUGGUCGCCACCAGAAAUCCAAGAAUGUGAUCCACAGCAAGGAAACAUAUGUGGGUGAGGUGUACGAGCCUCUGGUUGAUGAUCAAAGGCCACACAACCCUUAUUUUUUUCAAAAAUAGCAUUAACGACCAUUUUCAAUAAUAUUGAUGGUUAACACCUACGGAUUUUUGACCAAGAAAUGGUCUCCACCAAAAAUCCAAGAAUGUGAUCUAUGGCAAGGAAACAUAUGUGGGGUGAGGUGAACGAGCCUCUGGUC